Molecule: long non-coding RNA, 651 nt
Organism: Oncorhynchus tshawytscha (Chinook salmon)
Lineage: Eukaryota; Metazoa; Chordata; Actinopteri; Salmoniformes; Salmonidae
Source: Ensembl
GGGGCAUUAACAGACCGACAAGACCCAGGGAUAGGGGCGUUACCAGACCAAACACACCCAGGGUUAGGGGCGUUACCAGACCGAUAUCACCCAGGGUUAGGGGCGUUACCAGACCGAUAUCACCCAGGGUUAGGGGUGUUACCAGACCGAUAUCACCCAGGGUUAGGGGCAUUACCAGACCAAACACACCCAGGGUUAGGGGUGUUACCAGACCAAACACACCCAGGGUUAGGGGCGUUACCAGACCGAUAUCACCCAGGGUUAGGGCGUUACCAGACCGAUAUCACCCAGGGUUAGGGGCAUUAACAGACCGACAAGACCCAGGGAUAGGGGCGUUACCAGACCAAACACACCCAGGGUUAGGGGCGUUACCAGACCGAUAUCACCCAGGGUUAGGGGCAUUACCAGACCAAACACACCCAGGGUUAGGGGCAUUAACAGACCGACAAGACCCAGGGAUAGGGGCGUUACCAGACCAAACACACCCAGGGUUAGGGGUGUUACCAGACCGAUAUCACCCAGGGUUAGGGGCGUUACCAGACCGAUAUCACCCAGGGUUAGGGGCAUUAACAGACCGACAAGACCCAGGGAUAGGGGCGUUACCAGACCAAACACACCCAGGGUUAGGGGCGUUACCAGACCGAUAUCACC